GCGGGCGUGGCGGAAUGGCAGACGCGCUGGACUUAGGAUCCAGUGGGGUUAAACCCGUGAAGGUUCAAGUCCUUUCGCCCGCACCA
Molecule: transfer RNA, 86 nt
Filed under: Pelotomaculum schinkii
Lineage: Bacteria; Bacillati; Bacillota; Clostridia; Eubacteriales; Desulfotomaculaceae
Description: tRNA-Leu
Rfam family: tRNA
About the family: Transfer RNA (tRNA) molecules are approximately 80 nucleotides in length. Their secondary structure includes four short double-helical elements and three loops (D, anti-codon, and T loops).
Source: RNAcentral